This 18-nucleotide small nuclear RNA is filed under the name Arabidopsis thaliana (thale cress). Its description in RNAcentral is "snRNA_15581". The record is from RNAcentral. Lineage: Eukaryota; Viridiplantae; Streptophyta; Magnoliopsida; Brassicales; Brassicaceae.
UUCGUAGGCUCCAUGCUC